RNAcentral lists this unclassified non-coding RNA (326 nucleotides) under Hevea brasiliensis (rubber tree). The record is from RNAcentral. Lineage: Eukaryota; Viridiplantae; Streptophyta; Magnoliopsida; Malpighiales; Euphorbiaceae.
UUUGAGAAUGAGACUUGGAUAUGGGUUUGACUCUGAAACAUAGAAUUAGUUUAAAAUCUAUAAAAAUUUUAGAAAAGAGGCAAGUUGAUGCUGAAGAAAACAAGAAUCAAGAGAAAUAAAUUCUCAAGACACAAAAGAGAAACAAGUUCUCUAGAGGAACUAGUUCUCAUUAUUUUUACUAAUUCUCAGUGAUAGUCAAUAAUGAUAUCUCUUUGAUAAAAAUACCCAAAUAACAUAGGUAUAGACUAGCAAUCCUACUAUUAUUAGGAUUAAGAAACCCUAAAUAAGAAAAGCCUAAUCAAAUACUAAUUAGGAAUGGAAAACUA